AGCAGUGUGGCACAGUGGUAAGGAGUAGGGCUCGUAACCAAAAUGUUGCUGGUUCAAUUCCCCAGUGGGGCACUGCUG
RNAcentral lists this transfer RNA (78 nucleotides) under Megalops atlanticus (tarpon). RNAcentral's name for it is "tRNA-OTHER". Lineage: Eukaryota; Metazoa; Chordata; Actinopteri; Elopiformes; Megalopidae. The record is from RNAcentral.